Molecule: ribosomal RNA, 539 nt
Filed under: uncultured Gammaproteobacteria bacterium
Lineage: Bacteria; Pseudomonadati; Pseudomonadota; Gammaproteobacteria
Description: bacterial SSU rRNA
Rfam family: Bacterial small subunit ribosomal RNA
Source: RNAcentral
GACGCUGGCGGCGUGCCUAACACAUGCAAGUCGAGCGGCAGCGGGCCCGCAAGGGUGCCGGCGAGCGGCGGACGGGUGAGCAAUACAUAGGAAUCUACCUUAGAGCGGGGGAUAGCCCGGGGAAACCCGGAUUAAUACCGCAUGAUGUCGAGAGACCAAAGUGGGGGAUCGUAAGACCUCACACUCUAAGAUGAGCCUAUGUCGGAUUAGCUAGUUGGCGGGGUAACGGCCCACCAAGGCGACGAUCCGUAGCUGGUCUGAGAGGACGAUCUGCCACACCGGAACUGAGACACGGUCCGGACUCCUACGGGAGGCAGCAGUGGGGAAUAUUGGACAAUGGGCGAAAGCCUGAUCCAGCGACGCCGCGUGGGUGAAGAAGGCCUUCGGGUUGUAAAGCCCUUUAAGCCGGGACGAAAAAGCUGCACCUAACACGUGCGGCCUUGACGGUACCGGAAGAAUAAGCACCGGCUAACUCUGUGCCAGCAGCCGCGGUAAUACAGAGGGUGCAAGCGUUAAUCGGAUUUACUGGGCGUAAAGCG